This 492-nucleotide ribosomal RNA is filed under the name uncultured bacterium. RNAcentral's name for it is "partial 16S ribosomal RNA". It matches the Rfam family "Bacterial small subunit ribosomal RNA", at positions 29 to 507 of the family's 1533-position model. The record is from RNAcentral.
AGUGAACGCUGGCGGUAGGCCUAACACAUGCAAGUCGAACGGCAGCACAGUAAGAGCUUGCUCUUACGGGUGGCGAGUGGCGGACGGGUGAGGAAUACAUCGGAAUCUACUUUUUCGUGGGGGAUAACGUAGGGAAACUUACGCUAAUACCGCAUACGACCUACGGGUGAAAGCAGGGGAUCUUCGGACCUUGCGCGAUUGAAUGAGCCGAUGUCGGAUUAGCUAGUUGGCGGGGUAAAGGCCCACCAAGGCGACGAUCCGUAGCUGGUCUGAGAGGAUGAUCAGCCACAUUGGAACUGAGACACGGUCCAGACUCCUACGGGAGGCAGCAGUGGGGAAUAUUGGACAAUGGGCGCAAGCCUGAUCCAGCCAUACCGCGUGGGUGAAGAAGGCCUUCGGGUUGUAAAGCCCUUUUGUUGGGAAAGAAAGGCAGCAGGUUAAUACCCCGCUGUUCUGACGGUACCCAAAGAAUAAGCACCGGCUAACUUCGUG